This 326-nucleotide ribosomal RNA is filed under the name Clostridium botulinum C/D. RNAcentral describes it as "bacterial SSU rRNA". It matches the Rfam family "Bacterial small subunit ribosomal RNA", at positions 1 to 322 of the family's 1533-position model. Lineage: Bacteria; Bacillati; Bacillota; Clostridia; Eubacteriales; Clostridiaceae. The record is from RNAcentral.
UUUAAAUUGAGAGUUUGAUCCUGGCUCAGGACGAACGCUGGCGGCGUGCCUAACACAUGCAAGUCGAGCGAUGAAACUUCCUUCGGGAAGUGGAAUAGCGGCGGACGGGUGAGUAACACGUGGGUAACCUGCCUCAAAGAGGGGGAUAGCCUCCCGAAAGGGAGAUUAAUACCGCAUAACAUUAUUUUAUGGCAUCAUAAAAUAAUCAAAGGAGCAAUCCGCUUUGAGAUGGACCCGCGGCGCAUUAGCUAGUUGGUGAGGUAACGGCUCACCAAGGCAACGAUGCGUAGCCGACCUGAGAGGGUGAUCGGCCACAUUGGAACUGA